RNAcentral lists this long non-coding RNA (965 nucleotides) under Equus asinus (donkey). RNAcentral describes it as "lncRNA (ENSEASG00005035841.1)". The record is from RNAcentral. Lineage: Eukaryota; Metazoa; Chordata; Mammalia; Perissodactyla; Equidae.
UUAUUCACUGCCAAAUUGAAAUAAUCUUCAGUAUUCCCAAAUGAGACACGCUUGUGCUGAAAAAUUGUUCAUGGCUUAUCUCAAAUUCAAGUUUAACUAGGUGCCCUGUAUUUUAGCUGGCAAGCCUACUUGAGGCCCAUGGUUCCACAUCUUGGGAACGUGGACCCGAGAGAAUGAAGGCGGCAUGUGCAAAGAAGCCAGAGUGUCCCUGUAGCAUCUCCCUCUGCCACAACUGAUGCAGCACUGCGGCCGUCCCCUCUGUCGCUGGUAGACAGGCAGAUCAUCAACGCCCACGCAGCCCCAGCUGGCGCUCUGCAGAGCCCAUGAAGCUGUUUGGCCUCGGGCCAGGAUGGGCCUACAAAGCCAGAAGCAUCUGAUGUGGCAUGUCUGACGCACCUCCUAAGCCAGCCGCUGGCUGCUCCUGUCCCUGUUUACUCCUCUGGCACUGGCUUCUAAGGCAGGGGCGGGAGCUGGAGGGAGAGACAGCGUUAGAUUUCCCAGGAAGAAAAGGAUUCCAUGACUCUAAGAAGUCCUAAAACCAAUGAUCUAUCCAGCAGUCAUUCUCAAAGCUGCCUGUGCAUCGGGAUCAACUGGGUGACUUGCCUCUCCUGAAGGACACUAGGAGAAUCUAGCUGGGGGCUUGUGCAAACCAGUUGCGCCUGCUACUCCCUAGUACUGCCUUUUCGGCAAGCACCAUCCCGGGUGUCAUCACUCUCCGUGGGGAGGACCCCUCCUAUCCGCCGUCCAGGGCCGCAAGGAUCCCCUGCCCAAGGACCAAGCCUGUGGUGGCUGCAGCAGAACCACGUGGACACUCAGGCGCCCAAGUGCUUGGCUCUAGGGACAGCUGGCCAGAGAGGUGUCUCACACGUGGAUAAACUAAGGACGCCUCUUGUUGUACUUGUCCUCGUACCUUCUUCCAGAAACAAGGCCCCUCUUUUAUUCAGGGAACUCUUGAUGCUCAGUCC